UUCAUUGUUGUCAAUGAUGUAUUCCUUUUGGAACUGAAUCUUAAGUGAUUUAAAAAAAAUUCGUCACUACCGCUGAGACAACAAUGAA
RNAcentral lists this small nucleolar RNA (88 nucleotides) under Nannospalax galili (Upper Galilee mountains blind mole rat). Its description in RNAcentral is "Small nucleolar RNA SNORD70 (ENSNGAG00000006745.1)". It matches the Rfam family "Small nucleolar RNA SNORD70". Rfam says of the family: snoRNA HBII-234 belongs to the C/D family of snoRNAs. The record is from Rfam by way of RNAcentral. Lineage: Eukaryota; Metazoa; Chordata; Mammalia; Rodentia; Spalacidae.